GAUGAACGCUGGCGGCGCGCCUAACACAUGCAAGUCGAACGGUUAAAGCACCUUCGGGUGUGUAUAAAGUGGCGAACGGCUGAGUAACACGUGGGCAAUCUGCCCUAAAGACUGGGAUACCACUUGGAAACAGGUGCUAAUACCGGAUAACAACAUGAAUCGCAUGAUUCAAGUUUGAAAGGCGGCGCAAGCUGUCACUUUAGGAUGAGCCCGCGGCGCAUUAGCUAGUUGGUGGGGUAAAGGCCUACCAAGGCAAUGAUGCGUAGCCGAGUUGAGAGACUGAUCGGCCACAUUGGGACUGAGACACGGCCCAAACUCCUACGGGAGGCAGCAGUAGGGAAUCUUCCACAAUGGACGCAAGUCUGAUGGAGCAACGCCGCGUGAGUGAAGAAGGUCUUCGGAUCGUAAAGCUCUGUUGUUGGUGAAGAAGGAUAGAGGCAGUAACUGGUCUUUAUUUGACGGUAAUCAACCAGAAAGUCACGGCUAACUACGUG
Molecule: ribosomal RNA, 494 nt
Filed under: uncultured bacterium
Lineage: Bacteria
Description: bacterial SSU rRNA
Rfam family: Bacterial small subunit ribosomal RNA
Source: RNAcentral